Molecule: ribosomal RNA, 274 nt
Filed under: uncultured bacterium
Lineage: Bacteria
Description: partial 16S ribosomal RNA
Rfam family: Bacterial small subunit ribosomal RNA
Source: RNAcentral
AUACGAACCGGACAAACGUUAUUGGGAAUUAUUGGGCUUAAAGGGUGCGUAGGCGGCGCGGUAAGUGAGGUGUGAAAGCCCACGGCUCAACCGUGGAAUUGCGCUUCAUACUGCCGUGCUAGAGGGAGACAGAGGUAAGCGGAACUGAUGGUGGAGCGGUGAAAUGCGUUGAUAUUAUCAGGAACACCGGUGGCGAAAGCGGCUUACUGGGUCUCUUCUGACGCUGAGGCACGAAAGCUAGGGUAGCGAACGGGAUUAGAAACCCCAGUAGUCC